GACAACUUUAAUAAAUGUCAAUAAAACUAGCACGUUUUUUGUCAAACAAUUUUAAUUUGAAACAAAAAAGAAGAACAAUUUGGAAUAAAAAAAUGAGUGCUGACAAGGUGAAGACCACCGGUACAAGCAGAAAACCACCAUUCGAUGUAUGUUCUGAAGACAUGAAUGAAUCUAAUACCAAAGGAUUCAAGGAUGGUGGUAAGAUGGCUACAUGUUUGAUUAAAAAAUACCACCCUUUUUUCUUGGAUGCGAAUCUGAAGAACCGACUACCGCUAACUCAUGACAAACGAAAACUCCCAAAGUGUAAAGCAAUGUGAUUCUGUAACAAUUGAUGGUUUUAAAUUUCAUUAGAAUCUUUACAAUUUACGAAGAAAGAUAAACCCA
Molecule: long non-coding RNA, 384 nt
Organism: Musca domestica (house fly)
Lineage: Eukaryota; Metazoa; Arthropoda; Insecta; Diptera; Muscidae
Exons: 2
Source: RefSeq, a predicted model, not a curated record